Salvia splendens (bonfire salvia) is the source of this 581-nucleotide long non-coding RNA. RefSeq lists it as uncharacterized. The record is from RefSeq and is a predicted model, not a curated record. NCBI's taxonomy places the organism in Eukaryota, Viridiplantae, Streptophyta, Magnoliopsida, Lamiales, Lamiaceae. The transcript is spliced from 2 exons.
GUCGUUUGGUUGUAAGGUUUCAGCUAGAUUAUAAUCUUUAUCUGCAAUAUACUCAUUGUUUGGUUACUUGAGCAACAUUGUUCAUGGCCCGUUUUUAACUUCUGAGGCCCGCACUAUUCAUGUAAUAUUCGACUGGUUGGAAUCGGGAUUUUUUCGGCAGUUUAUUAGCUGACAUCGAACGGCGUGCCUGUUUAACACCCUUUUUCCCCAAUUGUCCAUCCCCAUUUCAAAUCGAAUUUGAAAUCUUCGCAGCUCAAAUUGAAAAACCCCUUUUUGAAAAUGGGAAGAAAGUGCUACUCCUCACCACCCGGAGACGGGAGCCAAUGCACAAAGGUCUGAUUUAGUCUGCUCAAGGGAAGCAGCCCAGAGCUAAAGCCUCGUAGCAGACGAAAUUGGUAAUCCUUUAGUAGUAGUCGGCGGUAUUUUGUAGGUGACAGUGGAAUCGAUUUAGCUCGUAGAAGGUAAUUUCAUCUUUUUGCAACCCUAUUGUGAUUUUAUGCUGACGUCUCAGAUGUAUUUUUUGGAGUAAUUGUUCGGAUCUGGAUGUUAAAAAUUAUCGCGUGAUUUUGUGUGUUUCCUUA